This is a long non-coding RNA of Anthonomus grandis grandis, 1501 nucleotides long. RefSeq lists it as uncharacterized. The transcript is spliced from 3 exons. NCBI's taxonomy places the organism in Eukaryota, Metazoa, Arthropoda, Insecta, Coleoptera, Curculionidae. The record is from RefSeq and is a predicted model, not a curated record.
AGCGUUGCGGGAUAAACAUGACAAGCGCAAGAGAGAGGUAAGCAGCGCUGAGAAAGUUAAUCCCUACAGUGUCUACUAAGUCAAAGUUUACUGAAUAAAAUACAAGUUGCUUCACUCGGCUCCACGCGCCGAAUUACCUAUUCACCGCCCCUCACUUCAUUUGCCGGGCGACACUCCUACAAUCGAAUCUGUUGGGUUACACAGUGAGUAGAGUUUAAAUCGUUUUGAUGUGCGAGCGUUUUAUUACUAGUUGUACCGGGUGGACUCAGUGGACUGGCAAAUUAUUAUAAUCUAUUAUAUUAAAAUGUCGACUUAUUGUUCGGUAGACAGUUGUUUUACAAAGCGUGGAAGUGGUUUAAUGUUUUUUAGAUGUCCGAAAAAUGAAAAUAGGUAAGUACAUUGGAAUUAGUUGUUUAUUAAAUUCAUGAUUGCAUUCCUAGUUACUUUAUGAUCUGGUUCCUGUUUCUUUUUUUAAAUUAAUAUAAAAAAUGGAUUAUAGGUGCCAACUCUGGAAAGGUAUUUUGGGAUUUACUGGCAAACAUAGAUAUGCCGAUCUUACUCCGGAACAAUGUUGUAAAAGGGUUAAUAUCUGUAGCUUGCAUUUUGCGGAGAGCAGUUUUAUGUCCCCUUCAAAUCAACGUCUUAGACCCGAAGCAAUUCUUACAUUGUUCCUAACCAGAGUAUCGACAAAUAUGUUUUAUGUUUUCUUCUAAUUUGUGCACUUAUAAUGGCAAUAUGUAUUAUAGAAGAUACCUUUUAAUAUUUGCAGUUUUUUGGUGUAUAGGGAAAUCAGAAUUAUUUACAAAUUUACGUACUAUUUUUCCAGGCACAGAUAAUUCUAACAUCAUUGCAAGUCACACAUUAAGGAAGGAAUUCAGUGACGCUUCCGUGCAAACUGACACUCCGAUCCAGGUUAAUGUUUCUGUCCAGACGGAUGUAUGUAAUAAUACAGAUAAGUUCUGUCAAACGUCAAUGAAGAUUUCGGCAAUGACUCCAAGAAAAAUUUAAUUAAGAAAAGAAAUUAAAACUCUGGAAAAGGAAGGCUCUCACGCAAAAAGAUCCCUGGAAGUAGGAAUUACUUUGGACGAUGUUCAAAAAUUCCUAGAUGACAACUACCCAGCAGAUUCUUGUGCAUUCCUUAAGAGUCAGCUAUCUCUUCUGAACAAGUCUUCUCGGGGAAGCAGAGAAAAUUAAUGCCAAAAUAAACGAUUAUGGUGCAUUCUUGUGUAGUAAAGAGAGUAGAGCAUUAAAAUCCAAAUUUCAUCGGUAAGUUUAUUUGUUUACGUUUAAACAGCAAAAGACUUUUGUAUUUUUACCACCAGCGUCGUCACAUGAAAAAUAUUACGGUUAAUUAAUUAUAUAAUAACAUUUUUCGCCUCUAUUUAAAAUUGCACAAGAGCGACGAAAACAACACGUAUAGAUAUAGAAAAUUAUUUGUACACUACACAAUCCUUUCUCCAUCCUUUUCUCUCUCACUACUAAUUUUAAAACAAUAAAAUUC